GACGAACGCUGGCGGCGUGCUUAACACAUGCAAGUCGAACGGGUCUGCCCUGUUUUUUGCGGGGUGGGUCAGUGGCGAACGGGUGAGUAACACGUGAGUAACCUGCCCCUCACUUCUGGAUAACCGCUUGAAAGGGUGGCUAAUACGGGGUGUUCUGGCUGUGCCGCAUGGUGUGGCUGGGAAAGAUUCACUUUUGUGGUGUUUUGGUGGGGGAUGGGCUCGCGGCCUAUCAGCUUGUUGGUGGGGUGAUGGCCUGCCAAGGCUUUGACGGGUAACCGGCCUGAGAGGGUGGGCGGUCACACUGGGACUGAGAUACGGCCCAGACUCCUGCGGGAGGCAGCAGUGGGGGGUAUUGCACAAUGGGCGGAAGCCUGAUGCAGCGACGUCGCGUGAGGGAUGGAGGCCUUCGGGUUGUGAACCUCUUUCGCCGGUGAAGAAGGUCCUGCUCUUUGUGGUGGGGUUGACGGUAGCCGGGUUAUGAAGCGCCGGCUAACUACGUG
Molecule: ribosomal RNA, 500 nt
Filed under: uncultured bacterium
Lineage: Bacteria
Description: partial 16S ribosomal RNA
Rfam family: Bacterial small subunit ribosomal RNA
Source: RNAcentral